UUGCUUUGGCAGCACAUAUACCAAAAUUGGAACAAUACAGAGAAGACUAGCAUGGCCCCUGUGCAAGGAUGACAUGCAAGUAUGUGAAGAGUUCCAUAUUUUU
Molecule: small nuclear RNA, 103 nt
Organism: Camelus dromedarius (Arabian camel)
Lineage: Eukaryota; Metazoa; Chordata; Mammalia; Artiodactyla; Camelidae
Source: Ensembl